This 29-nucleotide small RNA is filed under the name Bombyx mori (domestic silkworm). Its description in RNAcentral is "ovarian small RNA-30035". Lineage: Eukaryota; Metazoa; Arthropoda; Insecta; Lepidoptera; Bombycidae. The record is from RNAcentral.
UCUGUCGAAAUGGUGCGGUAGCCCCACAC